AUGGGUCGCCUCCUCUCCAGCCUCCUUGGCUUUCUACUGACUGCGUUCGUAAACAAUGCAGCUGGGGCUUCCAUUCUGACUCUGACUCCCGAGCAGUACUGGAAGUCUGCUCUUCCAAACACUCCCAUGCCAAGCUCCCUCUCUCGGCUGCUCUGCACAUCGUCGGUCAUCUGCGGGCAUGGGAAGCACGGGGGCACGACGGUUGGUGAGAAAUCCCAUGUGUUUUUCAGUGUCUACACCACAGUGGAGGGGCACUUGCACUUGCCCGACGACCCCAGCGCCGCGCUCUUCUUCUUGGAGAAGGACCUGCAUAUGCACGCGGGCCGGAAGAAGCUGAUGAAGCUCCAUUUCAUGGCCACCCCCGGCGCCGGUGACAAGUUUUUGCCACGAAGCGAGGCCGACGCCAUCCCGUUCUCCUCUGACAAGGUCCCUGAGAUCCUUGGCCACUUCUCCCUGAAACAGGACUCCCAGGAGGCGGCGCAGAUGGCGCAGACGCUGCGCCACUGCGAGGCGCCCGCAGCCGAGGGCGAGCACAAGUGGUGCCCCACGUCACUGGAGUCCAUGAUCGACAUUGCCACGUCCAGCCUUGGAACCAGCCACGUGAGGGCCAUGUCCACCGUCGUCGGUAAGGAGGGAACACCAAGGCAGGACUACACCCUGACCGACGUAAAAUGCACCGGUGCCGACCGUCUCCUGGUCUGCCACGCGGAGCCGUACGCGUACGCCGUGUUCGCGUGCCACCUGCCUCAGGCAACUAGGGCCUACACAUUGUCGAUGGUCGGCGAGGACGGCACGGCGGUGGAGGCGGUCGCGGUGUGCCACGCUGACACGGCCGCCUGGAACCCCAGGCACAUCGCAUUCCAGGUGCUCAAGGUGAAGCCUGGCACCGUGCCGGUGUGCCACUUGGUGCCGCAGGACCACGUCGUCUGGACCAGCGGCCGUGAGUUUGCCAGCUAUUCGGAUGUGUGA
RNAcentral lists this ribosomal RNA (969 nucleotides) under Triticum aestivum (bread wheat). RNAcentral describes it as "partial small subunit ribosomal RNA". The record is from RNAcentral. Lineage: Eukaryota; Viridiplantae; Streptophyta; Magnoliopsida; Poales; Poaceae.